UACGUAGGGGGCUAGCGUUGUCCGGAUUUAUUGGGCGUAAAGAGCGUGUAGGCGGCCACACAGGUCUGCUGUGAAAACUCGAGGCUCAACCUCGAGCUGUCGGUGGAAACCGCGUGGCUAGAGUCCGGAAGAGGAGAGUGGAAUUCCCGGUGUAGCGGUGAAAUGCGCAGAUAUCGGGAAGAACACCCGUGGCGAAGGCGGCUCUCUGGGACGGUACUGACGCUGAGACGCGAAAGCGUGGGGAGCGAACAGG
This 253-nucleotide ribosomal RNA is filed under the name uncultured bacterium. Its description in RNAcentral is "partial 16S ribosomal RNA". It matches the Rfam family "Bacterial small subunit ribosomal RNA", at positions 524 to 776 of the family's 1533-position model. The record is from RNAcentral.